RNAcentral lists this ribosomal RNA (507 nucleotides) under uncultured bacterium. RNAcentral's name for it is "partial 16S ribosomal RNA". It matches the Rfam family "Bacterial small subunit ribosomal RNA", at positions 355 to 853 of the family's 1533-position model. The record is from RNAcentral.
UGGGGAAUUUUGGACAAUGGGCGAAAGCCUGAUCCAGCAAUGCCGCGUGUGUGAAGAAGGCCUUCGGGUUGUAAAGCACUUUUGUCCGGAAAGAAAUCCUCUGGGUUAAUACCUCGGGGGGAUGACGGUACCGGAAGAAUAAGCACCGGCUAACUACGUGCCAGCAGCCGCGGUAAUACGUAGGGUGCAAGCGUUAAUCGAAUUACUGGGCGUAAAGCGUGCGCAGGCGGUUUUGUAAGACGGAUGUGAAAUCCCCGGGCUUAACCUGGGAACUGCAUUCGUGACUGCAAGGCUAGAGUAUGGCAGAGGGGGGUAGAAUUCCACGUGUAGCAGUGAAAUGCGUAGAGAUGUGGAGGAAUACCGAUGGCGAAGGCAGCCCCCUGGGCCAAUACUGACGCUCAUGCACGAAAGCGUGGGGGAGCAAAACAGGAUUAGAUACCCUGGUAGUCCACGCCCUAAAACGAUGUCAACUAGUUGUUGGGGAUUCAUUUCCUUAGUAACGUAGCU